UUAUUCAAAUCCAUUAAAUCGAUAAGUGUAGUACCUCACAACAAUCGGAUGAAUGCCGGAAUCAAGGAGCGUUUGACACUAUUUUAAAAACGCACCAACGAUUACGACGACGGUGGUGGUUCCAUCACCCGGCGACGACGUCUUUAGAUUUGGAAAGCUCAACAAGCAUCUUAGCGGCGGUUUGAUCAAUAAGCAAAAAAUGUAGUAAUAUAUCUCUUCAAACGCCCUGAUCGCCGUAUAAACCAAAGGCCUAAUCACCGUAUGGAGCAACAGUCGUUCCACAAUCUCUUCGAACGCCGCCUGUUCAUCAAGUCCAAAACUCCUGCUGUUAAGUGGUUCAAAGAAUGUGAGUGGUGGUGGUGAUGGCAGCAAGUGAUGUUAAGUGGAUGGUGGUGGUGAUUGUAGAUCAGAUGCUGAUGGCAAAUGGGAGAGAGAGGUGAGAGAUAUAUCUAAUUUUUAAUUUCUAGUUUUUAAUUUUUUUUAAUGGUUAGGUAUUUAAUUUAUUUACACAACUAGUCCCUGAAAAGUGAAAUGAAAAUAAUACCCCCAUGAAGUCACAUGAUUAGAUUUAACAGAAAAAUCUAACUGGGUUAGGGUUAAAGGACAUGACGUGCAAGAUUUAAAACAUUAAGUACAAGACUCGUCAAUUUGAAAGAUAAAGGACACCGCCUAAAAUUAACUAUAAAGAUGAGGGACAAAACUUGAAAUUCAACUCAUAAUACAUUUGAUGAUGGUAUACGUGUAAUUCACUCUCCAUUUUACGACGCUUAACACAACUUUUGAUAGGUAGAAUACAAGUGCUUCAUGCAAUAGUUCCUAAUUUGCCAUCACUUAGUCUAAUUAAUAAUGAUAUACACAAAUAAUGUAUUAAUUAUGAUAAGUUGAUUAAAUAAUGUAUUAAUUAGGAGAAGAGUGGAUAAUUUAGGAACUAUUGUAUAGAGCACUUGUAUCCUAGGGACGGCAAUUCUUGACAUGACCCGUUAACCUGACCCGAACCCGACAUGAAAAAAAUAGGUUUAGGUUGACUAACACAACCCGUUUAAAAAACCGGGCCGGGUUCGGGUUGACCCGUAUUAAAAACGUGUCCGGUUCGGGUUGAUCCGUAUAAAAACGGUUGACCCAUUAACCCGUUGAACUAUUUAGAUAAAAUAUCUUUUAUUUUUUUUUUGUUUUUUAGGUUUCUAUUUUACAUGGUUAGUUAUAAAAAUGUUAAUUUUGACACAUUAUAUUAUUUAUUUAUCACACUCAUAAUCAUCAUUAAACAUGUUAUCGAUAACCCGCUUACAACUAACAACUAGUUUAUAAAUCAUCAACUUAUAUCACUCAUUUAAAAAUUUGGGUUAAACGGGUCUUGUUCGGGUUGACCCGAAUUAAUAUGGGUCGGGUUAGGCUUGAAAUCUUUGACCCAAAUAAUAAUAUGGGUCGAUUCAGGUUGAACAUUUCAACCCACCAACCUGUCGACCCGUAACCCGUCAACCCAUCAACCCAACACGAUUGCUACCCCUAUUGUAUCCUACGCAUCAAAAGUUGUCUUAGACGUCUUAAAAUAGAGAAUAACUAGAAAAGUGGCCCGCGCGCGUUGCACUGCGGGCAAAGAAAUUGACCACACGUCAACAACGUGUAAUCGAUCAGAGUUACAAACUCCGGUUAAUUAACCUCCGGAUCAUACUUUGUAGUAAGUAGUAACUAUAACUACAAUGUUAUAUGUAUAUUAAUAAUUGUGUACGUUAAUAGACACAUGUUGACAACAAAUAAUUCAAUAACUGUUUCUUUAACAAGCAACUAAAGUCCCAAAAACCGGUAGGAAUUCAGUUAAUAUCGAUGAACGCACUAUACCAACUGUUUAAACUAAAAUUCAAGCAUUAUUCAACCCAAAACUGGUGUUCUUACUAUUGAACUAAAAUAAGGUCAAGCAUGUGGAAAACCAAAUAGUACUUUUGGUUGAUAAACUAAUAUCCUAGUGAUUACAAAGCCUUCAUAUUUGAUCAGACAACAUCUUUUCGAGUAGCAUCUGCUCAAAAUGGCAAUCUCCUGAGAUUUAAAGAAUUUUAUAUACUCAAUAUCAAGUGACAAAUUUUCUAGGAAUAAGUUACCAUGUCCUUCCUAAAAUCAAAUAAUGAAAGGUCAGUAAAUAUAUCAUAUUAGCAUCAGAACAUACCUUGAUUAACUCGAUUAUAAAUCUUCUCGAAGAAUUGGAUGUAUCAUCACCAGCAUACUCUGAACUUUUAGAUGGUGGUGCGGAGUAAAUGACAUAAGGGAAUUUAUCGUCCCAUUGAACUCCCUCUAAAUUUGGAUUAAUACCCAUUUAAUAAGCUCGUCAUUGUAGUCAGUAGUAACUGUCUCCCUGGUAAUUUGGCAUCCUGGGUAUUCCUACCAGAAGAAUGGCAGCAUGAGACAACUUUAAGGUUUUCUAAAUAAAAAUAACUAUAAAGUCACCUA
Molecule: long non-coding RNA, 2439 nt
Filed under: Helianthus annuus (common sunflower)
Lineage: Eukaryota; Viridiplantae; Streptophyta; Magnoliopsida; Asterales; Asteraceae
Description: hypothetical non coding rna
Source: RNAcentral